This 589-nucleotide ribosomal RNA is filed under the name uncultured bacterium. Its description in RNAcentral is "partial 16S ribosomal RNA". It matches the Rfam family "Bacterial small subunit ribosomal RNA", at positions 355 to 1375 of the family's 1533-position model. The record is from RNAcentral.
UGGGGAAUAUUGCACAAUGGGCGCAAGCCUGAUGCAGCCAUGCCGCGUGUGUGAAGAAGGCCUUCGGGUUGUAAAGCACUUUCAGCGAGGAGGAAGGUGGUGAGCUUAAUACGCUCAUCAAUUGACGUUACUCGCAGAAGAAGCACCGGCUAACUCCGUGCCAGCAGUCGCGGUAAUACGGAGGGUGCAAGCGUUAAUCGGAAUUACUGGGCGUAAAGCGCACGCAGGCGGUUUGUUAAGUCAGAUGUGAAAUCCCCGGGCUCAACCUGGGAACUGCAUUUGAAACUGGCAAGCUAGAGUCUCGUAGAGGGGGGUAGAAUUCCAGGUGUAGCGGUGAAAUGCGUAGAGAUCUGGAGGAAUACCGGUGGCGAAGGCGGCCCCCUGGACGAAGACUGACGCUCAGGUGCGAAAGCGUGGGGGCCAAAACAGGAUUAGAUACCCUGGUAGUCCACGCUGUAAAACGAUGUCGAUUUUGGAGGUUGUGCCCUUGAGGCGUGGCUUCCGGAGCUAACGCGUUAAAGUCGACCGCCUGGGGAGUACGCCGCAAGGUUAAAACUCAAAUGAAUUGACGGGGUCAUAGCUGUUUCCU